CAACAGGGAUUGCUCUAGUAACGGCGAGUGAAGCAGCAAUAGCUCAAAUUUGAAAUCUGGCGUCUUCGACGUCCGAGUUGUAAUUUGUAGAGGAUGCUUCUGAGUAACCACCGACCUAAGUUCCUUGGAACAGGACGUCAUAGAGGGUGAGAAUCCCGUAUGCGGUCGGAAAGGUGCUCUAUACGUAGCUCCUUCGACGAGUCGAGUUGUUUGGGAAUGCAGCUCUAAAUGGGAGGUAAAUUUCUUCUAAAGCUAAAUAUUGGCCAGAGACCGAUAGCGCACAAGUAGAGUGAUCGAAAGAUGAAAAGCACUUUGGAAAGAGAGUUAAAAAGCACGUGAAAUUGUUAAAAGGGAAGGGAUUGCAACCAGACUUGCUCGCGGUGUUCCGCCGGUCUUCUGACCGGUCUACUCGCCGCGUUGCAGGCCAGCAUCGUCUGGUGCCGCUGGAUAAGACUUGAGGAAUGUAGCUCCCUCGGGAGUGUUAUAGCCUCUUGUGAUGCAGCGAGCGCCGGGCGAGGUCCGCGCUUCGGCUAGGAUGCUGGCGUAAUGGUCGUAAUCCGCCCGUCUUGAAACACG
RNAcentral lists this ribosomal RNA (576 nucleotides) under Cladosporium herbarum. Its description in RNAcentral is "LSU rRNA". It matches the Rfam family "Eukaryotic large subunit ribosomal RNA", at positions 66 to 663 of the family's 3401-position model. Lineage: Eukaryota; Fungi; Ascomycota; Dothideomycetes; Cladosporiales; Cladosporiaceae. The record is from RNAcentral.